AAUAGAUACCCCGGUAGUCCACGCCGUAAACGAUGAGUGCUAAGUGUUAGAGGGUUUCCGCCCUUUAGUGCUGCAGCUAACGCAUUAAGCACUCCGCCUGGGGAGUACGGUCGCAAGACUGAAACUCAAAGGAAUUGACGGGGGCCCGCACAAGCGGUGGAGCAUGUGGUUUAAUUCGAAGCAACGCGAAGAACCUUACCAGGUCUUGACAUCCUCUGACAACUCUAGAGAUAGAGCGUUCCCCUUCGGGGGACAGAGUGACAGGUGGUGCAUGGUUGUCGUCAGCUCGUGUCGUGAGAUGUUGGGUUAAGUCCCGCAACGAGCGCAACCCUUGAUCUUAGUUGCCAGCAUUCAGUUGGGCACUCUAAGGUGACUGCCGGUGACAAACCGGAGGAAGGUGGGGAUGACGUCAAAUCAUCAUGCCCCUUAUGACCUGGGCUACACACGUGCUACAAUGGAUGGUACAAAGGGCUGCAAGACCGCGAGGUCAAGCCAAUCCCCAUAAAACCAUUCUCAGUUCGGAUUGUAGG
RNAcentral lists this ribosomal RNA (530 nucleotides) under uncultured bacterium. RNAcentral describes it as "bacterial SSU rRNA". It matches the Rfam family "Bacterial small subunit ribosomal RNA", at positions 777 to 1304 of the family's 1533-position model. The record is from RNAcentral.